UCCUUUUUCAAAUCAGUGAAAUUAAUCUCCCCGUGAAGAAGCGGGGAUACUCAUAUAAGACGAGAAGACCCCAUGGAGCUUCAAACCCAACUACACCCCUAGCUCUUAUAGCCCCACAACCCCCCUAGGCACCGUGUGCUUGGUUUUAGGUUGGGGCGACCGCGGAGUACAAUAAAACCUCCACAAUGAAUGGGAACACCCCCUUAUCUGAGGGCCACACCCCCUAAGAAUUAGAACACUAACAUAAAAUGAUCCAUUACUUGAUCAAUGAACCAAGUUACCCUGGGGAUAACAGCGCAAUCCAUUUCAAGAGCCCCUAUCGACAAAUGGGUUUACGACCUCGAUGUUGGAUCAGGGUACCCCAGUGGUGCAGCAGCUACUAACGGUUCGUUUGUUCAACGAUUAAAACCCU
This 412-nucleotide ribosomal RNA is filed under the name Mantidactylus melanopleura. RNAcentral's name for it is "partial 16S ribosomal RNA". It matches the Rfam family "Bacterial large subunit ribosomal RNA", at positions 2021 to 2597 of the family's 2925-position model. Lineage: Eukaryota; Metazoa; Chordata; Amphibia; Anura; Mantellidae. The record is from RNAcentral.